UCCGGGGCAGAAAAUUGGACA
Molecule: unclassified non-coding RNA, 21 nt
Filed under: Candidatus Scalindua brodae
Lineage: Bacteria; Pseudomonadati; Planctomycetota; Candidatus Brocadiia; Candidatus Brocadiales; Candidatus Scalinduaceae
Description: RNA (5'-R(P*UP*CP*CP*GP*GP*GP*GP*CP*AP*GP*AP*AP*AP*AP*UP*UP*GP*GP*AP*CP*A)-3') from Candidatus Scalindua brodae (PDB 8D8N, chain D)
Source: RNAcentral